RNAcentral lists this long non-coding RNA (279 nucleotides) under Lathyrus oleraceus (garden pea). RNAcentral's name for it is "Pisum sativum (pea) long non-coding RNA (PSAT_LNC037443)". The record is from RNAcentral. Lineage: Eukaryota; Viridiplantae; Streptophyta; Magnoliopsida; Fabales; Fabaceae.
AUUUUUAUUAAAUUAUUAAAUAAUCUAUUUCAUCGAUUUCCCUAAUAAUUGAGUGAUAUGAUACCAAAAAUUUGUUAUAAAAGGAUUUGUUCAUUAAGUUUAGCCCUAAAUAAAUCUAACUUAUAUAUACAACUGCUCCAUACUCGUAAACAUUAUUCUUUUGGAUAAAUUGCAAGACUGAAAAAUUAUUUUGUUUUGUGUUAUUGUUCUUCUAACACCAAAAUUUAACAAAUCAUUUUUUUCUUCUUACAAUCUAUCUCACAUAAUGGUGUGUUGUUG